This 269-nucleotide ribosomal RNA is filed under the name uncultured prokaryote. RNAcentral describes it as "partial 16S ribosomal RNA". It matches the Rfam family "Bacterial small subunit ribosomal RNA", at positions 524 to 792 of the family's 1533-position model. The record is from RNAcentral.
CACGGAGGAGGCAAGCGUUGUUCGGAAUCACUGGGCUUAAAGCGGGUGUAGGCGGAGUGGCAGGUGUUUUGUGAAAGCCCUCGGCUCAACCGAGGAACUGCAGGGCAAACCGCCACUCUUGAGGCGGGUAGGGGCAAGUGGAACUAUGGGUGGAGCGGUGAAAUGCGUAGAUAUCCAUGGGAACGCCAGUGGCGAAAGCGGCUUGCUGGGCCCGUCCUGACGCUGAGACCCGAAAGCGUGGGUAGCAAACAGGAUUAGAUACCCCCGUA